GUUGUGGGUGAACCUGCGGGAGGAACAUUAACCGAAGUGCGGGUCCUUUUGGGCCCAACCUCCCAUCCGUGUCUAUUAUACCUUGUUGCUUCGGCGGGCCCGCCGCUUGUCGGCCGCCGGGGGGGCGCCUUUGCCCCCCGGGCCCGUGCCCGCCGGAGACCCCAACACGAACACUGUCUGAAAGCGUGCAGUCUGAGUUGAUUGAAUGCAAUCAGUUAAAACUUUCAACAAUGGAUCUCUUGGUUCCGGCAUCGAUGAAGAACGCAGCGAAAUGCGAUAACUAAUGUGAAUUGCAGAAUUCAGUGAAUCAUCGAGUCUUUGAACGCACAUUGCGCCCGCCUGGAUUCCGGGGGGCAUGCCUGUCCGAGCGUCAUUGCUGCCCUCAAGCCCGGCUUGUGUGUUGGGUCGCCGUCCCCCUCUCCGGGGGGACGGGCCCGAAAGGCAGCGGCGGCACCGCGUCCGAUCCUCGAGUGUAUGGGGCUUUGUCACAUGCUCUGUAGGAUUGGCCGGCGCCUGCCGACGUUUUCCAACCAUUUUUUCCAGGUUGACCUUCGGGAUCAAGGGGAAGGGAUCCCACGUAGG
RNAcentral lists this ribosomal RNA (582 nucleotides) under Aspergillus niger. RNAcentral describes it as "eukaryotic LSU rRNA". The stretch from base 220 to 373 matches the Rfam family "5.8S ribosomal RNA". Lineage: Eukaryota; Fungi; Ascomycota; Eurotiomycetes; Eurotiales; Aspergillaceae. The record is from RNAcentral.